CCUACGGGAGGCAGCAGUGGGGAAUAUUGGGCAAUGGAGGAAACUCUGACCCAGCAACGCCGCGUGAAUGAUGAAGGUCUUCGGAUUGUAAAGUUCUUUUCUAAGGGAAGAAGAAAGUGACGGUACCUUAGGAAUAAGCCUCGGCUAACUACGUGCCAGCAGCCGCGGUAAUACGUAGGCGGCGAGCGUUAUCCGGAAUGACUGGGCGGAAAGGGUGCGUAGGUGGUUUGGAAAGUUAGUAGCGUAACUCCAAGGCUCAACCUUGGAACUACUCCUAAAACUGUUGGACUUGAGUGCAGGAGGGGCAACCGGAAUUCCUAGUGUAGCGGUGGAAUGCGUAGAUAUUAGGAGGAACACCAGUGGCGAAGGCGGGUUGCUGGACUGUAACUGACACUGAGGCACGAAAGCGUGGGGAGCAAACAGGAUUAGAUACCCGGGUAGUC
RNAcentral lists this ribosomal RNA (443 nucleotides) under uncultured bacterium. RNAcentral describes it as "partial 16S ribosomal RNA". It matches the Rfam family "Bacterial small subunit ribosomal RNA", at positions 338 to 795 of the family's 1533-position model. The record is from RNAcentral.